GAUCAUGGCUCAGGAUGAACGCUAGCGACAGGCUUAACACAUGCAAGUCGGGGGGCAGCAUAAAAGUAGCAAUACUUGGUGGCGACCGGCGCACGGGUGAGUAACGCGUAUGCAACCUACCUAUCAGAGGGGAAUAACCCGGCGAAAGUCGGACUAAUACCGCAUAAAACAGGGACACCGCAUGGUGAUAUUUGUUAAAGAAAUUCGCUGAUAGAUGGGCAUGCGUUCCAUUAGGUAGUUGGUGAGGUAACGGCUCACCAAGCCGACGAUGGAUAGGGGAACUGAGAGGUUGGUCCCCCACACUGGUACUGAGACACGGACCAGACUCCUACGGGAGGCAGCAGUGAGGAAUAUUGGUCAAUGGGCGAGAGCCUGAACCAGCCAAGUCGCGUGAAGGAAGAAGGAUCUAUGGUUCGUAAACUUCUUUUGCAGGGGAAUAAAGUGCAGGACGUGUCCUGUUUUGUAUGUACCCUGAGAAUAAGGAUCGGCUAACUCCGUGCCAGCCGCGGC
RNAcentral lists this ribosomal RNA (510 nucleotides) under uncultured bacterium. RNAcentral's name for it is "bacterial SSU rRNA". It matches the Rfam family "Bacterial small subunit ribosomal RNA", at positions 15 to 518 of the family's 1533-position model. The record is from RNAcentral.